AAGGGCUGAAAUGGCCAUUACCUCACAGUCACGUAGUCUUGAAGUACAACGUGUGAUGUGACGUAGUGGAAGUCUCGGCCCG
Molecule: microRNA precursor, 82 nt
Filed under: Danaus plexippus plexippus
Lineage: Eukaryota; Metazoa; Arthropoda; Insecta; Lepidoptera; Nymphalidae
Description: mir-989 microRNA precursor family
Rfam family: mir-989 microRNA precursor family
Source: Rfam by way of RNAcentral